This 238-nucleotide non-coding RNA is filed under the name Secundilactobacillus mixtipabuli. RNAcentral describes it as "Lactobacillus mixtipabuli T-box sequence". It matches the Rfam family "T-box leader". From Rfam's summary of the family: Uncharged tRNA acts as the effector for transcription antitermination of genes in the T-box leader family. The record is from RNAcentral. Lineage: Bacteria; Bacillati; Bacillota; Bacilli; Lactobacillales; Lactobacillaceae.
CAAAACGCUAUGAGAAAGUUAAGUAGCUGUUCAGCACCUGUAAGCGAGCUUCGUUAGGUGAGAGGAAGCCAGAGUUGAACAGUGAACAUCCCUUUUGAGCGACGUACCGAAAUAAAGUAACGUACGUUGGGCACUCCCAUUAUCGAGUUAGCGUAUCGUCCUUGCGACCGUACGUGAAGAGGUUAUUUUAGCGAUAAAAUAACAAAAUAAGGUGGUACAGUGCAGAAGCACCCUUAGU